RNAcentral lists this ribosomal RNA (330 nucleotides) under uncultured eukaryote. Its description in RNAcentral is "partial 18S ribosomal RNA". It matches the Rfam family "Eukaryotic small subunit ribosomal RNA", at positions 1470 to 1796 of the family's 1831-position model. The record is from RNAcentral.
CCCUUAGAUGUUCGGGGCCGCACGCGCGCUACACUGAAGGAAUCAGCACGUCUUUCCCCUUGUCCGAAAGGACUGGGUAACCCGCUGAACCUCCUUCGUGCUAGGGAUUGGGGCUUGUAAAUCUUCCCCAUGAACGAGGAAUUCCCAGUAAGCGCGAGUCAUAAGCUCGCGUUGAUUACGUCCCUGCCCUUUGUACACACCGCCCGUCGCUACUACCGAUUGGAUGGUUUAGUGAGAUCCUCGGAUUGGUCCCGGAGCGGCCUCUGGUCGUGCCGGAGUGCCGAAAAGAAUGUCGAACUUGAUCAUCUAGAGGAAGUAAAAGUCGUAACA